AGCAGUCGCCGCGGUAAUACGAAGGGUGCAAGCGUUACUCGGAAUUACUGGGCGUAAAGCGCACGCAGGCGGUCUGUCAAGUCAGAUGUGAAAUCCCCGGUCUUAACCUGGGAACUGCAUUUGAAACUGGCAGGCUAGAGUCUUGUAGAGGGGGGUAGAAUUCCAGGUGUAGCGGUGAAAUGCGUAGAGAUCUGGAGGAAUACCGGUGGCGAAGGCGGCCCCCUGGACAAAGACUGACGCUCAGGUGCGAAAGCGUGGGGAGCAAACAGGAUUAGAUACCCCGGUAGUCCCUGUCUCUUAUAC
Molecule: ribosomal RNA, 303 nt
Filed under: uncultured bacterium
Lineage: Bacteria
Description: partial 16S ribosomal RNA
Rfam family: Bacterial small subunit ribosomal RNA
Source: RNAcentral